GCCAGUGUGGCUCAGUGGAUAGAGCAUCAGCCUGCUCUAUCUGAAGGGUCCCGGGUUCGAUUCCGGUCAAGGGCA
This 75-nucleotide transfer RNA is filed under the name Myotis brandtii (Brandt's bat). It matches the Rfam family "tRNA". From Rfam's summary of the family: Transfer RNA (tRNA) molecules are approximately 80 nucleotides in length. Their secondary structure includes four short double-helical elements and three loops (D, anti-codon, and T loops). Lineage: Eukaryota; Metazoa; Chordata; Mammalia; Chiroptera; Vespertilionidae. The record is from Rfam by way of RNAcentral.